This 710-nucleotide ribosomal RNA is filed under the name uncultured soil bacterium. Its description in RNAcentral is "SSU rRNA". It matches the Rfam family "Bacterial small subunit ribosomal RNA", at positions 1 to 710 of the family's 1533-position model. The record is from RNAcentral.
CAAUUUGGGCAUUCAGUGUCUGGCUAGAUUGACGCUGGCGGCAUGCCUUACACAUGCAAGUCGAACGCGAAAGGGGGCAACCCCGAGUAGAGUGGCGAACGGGUGAGCAAUACAUCGGAACGUGUCCUGUAGCGGGGGACAACCUCGAGAAAUCGAGGCUAAUACCGCAUACGAUCUACGGAUGAAAGUGGGGGACCGCAAGGCCCCACACUAUAGGAGCGGCCGAUGCCGGAUUAGCUAGUUGGUGGGGUAACGGCCUACCAAGGCGACGAUCCGUAGCUGGUUUGAGAGAACGACCAGCCACACUGGGACUGAGACACGGCCCAGACUCCUACGGGAGGCAGCAGUGGGGAAUUUUGGACAAUGGGCGAAAGCCUGAUCCAGCCAUGCCGCGUGAGUGAAGAAGGCCUUCGGGUUGUAAAGCUCUUUCGGCGGGGACGAAAUAGCGCGGGGUAAUAUCCCGCGUCGAUGACUGUACCCGAAGAAGAAGGACCGGCUAACUACGUGCCAGCAGCCGCGGUAAUACGUAGGGUCCAAGCGUUAAUCGGAAUUACUGGGCGUAAAGCGUGCGUAGGCGGUCUCGCAAGUCCGAUGUGAAAUCCCCGAGCUUAACUUGGGAACUGCGUUGGAAACUAUGAGGCUAGAGUGCGGCAGAGGGGGGUGGAAUUCCAGGUGUAGCAGUGAAAUGCGUAGAGAUCUGGAGGAACACC